Molecule: transfer RNA, 71 nt
Filed under: Holosporaceae bacterium
Lineage: Bacteria; Pseudomonadati; Pseudomonadota; Alphaproteobacteria; Holosporales; Holosporaceae
Description: tRNA-Gly
Rfam family: tRNA
About the family: Transfer RNA (tRNA) molecules are approximately 80 nucleotides in length. Their secondary structure includes four short double-helical elements and three loops (D, anti-codon, and T loops).
Source: RNAcentral
GCGGGCGUAGCUCAAUGGUAGAGUAUAAGCUUCCCAAGCUUGUGACGAGGGUUCGAUUCCCUUCUCCCGCU